This is a long non-coding RNA of Lynx canadensis (Canada lynx), 3575 nucleotides long. RefSeq lists it as uncharacterized. The record is from RefSeq and is a predicted model, not a curated record. The transcript is spliced from 2 exons. NCBI's taxonomy places the organism in Eukaryota, Metazoa, Chordata, Mammalia, Carnivora, Felidae.
UGCUUGGGAUUCUCUCUCACUCUCUAUCAGAAUAAAUAAAUAAACUUGAAAUAAAUCAUGGUCUGAGUGAGUGAAGAUCGCGGCGCAGACGUUGAUUUGCUCAGCGACACAUGGUAAGCUGACAUCAGAACCGUGGUUACUAUGUUUAGUCCUGCAGACUAUAGUUCAUGCCCUGUGGCCAAGCCAUGCUUAAAAUCACAAUUGUCAGGGUAGACACAAGAGCCGUUUGCUGCGGAGUGAAGUUCGGGAGAGUAGCUUCUUGUAGCUUGGAAUUUGGAUGUUUGCUUCUACCAAUUUAUAUCUCUUUGCCUUUAUGAAGUCAUACGAGGCCCUAAGCCAAGUGAGAAGGUAGGAAUAUGCUCAGCACACUUCCUGGUAUUGUAGGCAGAAUGCAAUCAUUAUCUGAAAUUUUGCUAGGUGGGAGCCUGCCUGAGAGUAGCAGGGCAGGGUUUAUUGUUUGCAGAGCAGGGUUGAUUGUUAAGUAGUUAACGUUGGUUAGCUCUGAACCCAUCCUCAAAGGUCCAGACUAGUCUCCAGUAUAUUUCCAGUGUCAAAGCUCUCAUGGCUGGAAAUGGCCAGGUCUUGCAAAAAUUGUCGAGGAAAAUAAUUUGAAUUCCCUGGGCGUGUCUGGGUGAUGGGACUUCUGUUCUCGGUUCCUGCGCUUUGGGGUAACACUGACUCACUGGCUGAGAUCCGUCUGGGAUUUUAAGAGGUAUAAAUAAAUAACAAAUUCACACAUAACUGACUAACAUGGAUGUUUUGAGUCAGGCCAACUGGGAUUUGAAUCCCUACCCACUGUGACUAACUUACUGCUCUGAGGAAGUACACAUUCUCAGAGUACCUGCUGUGUACCAGUGGUUUAUGGAGUGUUUGUGAGGAUUAUAGAAGAUAAGGAACGUAUGGGAAAUACAUAGGAAGAGUAGGGAGGGCUUCAGAAAGGCCUCUUUCCUUCCCUUUGGCUUGAUCGAAUGUCACAAAAUACAUUAUCUCCAGGCUCAUCUCAUCAUGGAGUCAGAGACAUUUGUGACCAGUAGCCCUUGGCCAGCCAUUUCAGGUCCUAUCACACAGACCAUCCCAGAAUCUGGAGAUAGGAAUCCAUUGAGUACAGACUCCUGAACGAUUGGCUUGCGGGCCUGUAAGCCUUUCUUAAAGAAGACCGAUGCCCACCCGAGUCAAAUUAUUGGCCGCAUAUAGAAUACUGUGGAACGUUGUGGAAGAGCUGGCGCCCAGCUCACCUUUGGCAGUGUCAGGAUUCCAACUCCGGCUCUUUGUCAAAUGGCUCGACAGCUUCAGGGAGGUCUUUUUGUAAGCUCACGGAUUCAGAAAUGGUUUGACUCUGUAGAAGAAUUCUCUUCAUGUUUGAGCUCUGAUCUAAGCCAACAGCUUUGGAAAUUUUGAAUCUGCCUCUUAUAUAUAUAUUUUUUCCUGUAUUAGAUAUGAGCCUGCCUGCUCAGUUCAGAUUCGACAGCAGAACUUUUUGCAGACGCGAAUGGCUCACUCUGUGAAGCAAACCAUAAUCCCAUCAACUUUGCUUUGGUGGCAUUUUUGAUUCUGAUUUAAUGCAGUGACCUUAGGGCAGAUUUUGGACCGGGGAAAACAACCCCUUAUUUGUCGCCCAAAGGACUCCGUUUUUAAGGACCCGAUCGGGGGUGUUGGGGUGGACACAUGGACGUGUGGAGUUUUGCUUUCAUUUGUUUUGUUUUUCCCCUUCUUUACUUUUUGGUUUGAUCCCUUUUAGAUUCCAGGGGGGCUGAAUUUCAUGCUGAGGAGGCUUUAGCUAAUGGUUAUAAAACCUUAGGGAAAGUACAGCCCUUCUGUGGUCCUAUCUUCCUAAAACUGCUCCUAUCAAGAAAUGACAGAUGAAGGAAACAUAAGUGAUAUCUACAAUGAAACAUGUGUUCCCCGUAAUACGUCUUUAUCUUCUUGCAUUUAUCAGUAGCCCUGGGUAACAGGGUUUUAUACUUUAGGAAGAUUAGAGGCUUGUUUUCUUGCUGAAACAGUCCCUCCACCAUGUUCUUUUGUCUGCCUUAGUGCUUAGGUUUUGUUUUGUUUUUUAACUAGUUUUUAACACCGUGCGUUUGGAAUAAGCUUCGGGAAUCAUCUGUCUCAUAAAGGUCACUUGUUUCUUAUAUUCGGGGCACUUACGGUUUGGAGGGGGUGAUGGGUGGAAUGAAACCCACAGAGAAGUAUUGACACCAGGAUUAGGAAGCCAGGCUUGUAUUUCAAUCUCUGUUACAGACACAAUCAAGUGGCUUGGCUCUUUCACUCCGUUUUCCAUCUGUAAAUUAGAGAUAAUAUUUUCUACCUUCCAGAUUCUCAGAGUGUGAAGAAUUUUCAAUUUUUGAAAAUUUCUGCAAAUUAAUUGAGCAAUGCCGGUAAGUCCGCAUACAUUGAUGAAGAAUUUCAAGAUCUAAAGUUGAUAUGCCUUUGAACUUUCUGCCUGAAGCCUUUCUCAGGAGGUAUUGCCUAGGAAAAGCUUUGGGGCAAAGAAGCCCAUUUCUUCCGACUCUUUUCUUCACAUGCCAGUUGUAAUCCUUUUAACUACUUGGUGGCUUUUAUAUACUCUUCAGGCUGGUUAAGUGCUUCAUAACACGAAGAACUAAUUUUCUCUUGACAGUGACCUUGUGAUCUUGUUCAUCUGGUUCCUAGUUCUGAGGUUUUCCCCUAACACUCCGAGUCAUCUUCGUCAAAGUCUUAAAGGGAGAUAGGUUUUAAUAAGGAGUUGAUCGAGUUUAAUGGGUGGUUUGAAGUUAUGUAUGACUCUGCUGUUGCAAAAGGUCAGAGUUUACACUCUAGGUUUUAUAUCCUUGACUUUUCCCUUCCUUUACAGGCCUUUGGAUCUAGUGAAAGUGAUUCACACACACACAGACCAGAUAUGUGGCUUUAGAUGCCUUCUAACCCUGAAUCCUAUUCUGUUGCCAAGGCUCAUCUCUGUCGAGGAACUCAUGAGUUAGCAGGUCUGGAACGGUAGGAGCCUGAAGGCAAAGGAGAGACGUGUUAUUGGCCAGCUUGUGGAAAUAAUUGUUCUGCAUUCAUUCACCAUAUACUUCCAGGUACCUAACUUGAGGAGCGUAUAUUCAGCACUUGGAAGGAUCCAGAGGAGAAAUUGACAUAGAUCUUGUUCAUGGGAAGUUUGUAAUGGAUUAGAGGACCCUAAGUUAUGGCGCCCGGAAUAACUGAAGUGGAAGGCUCAACAUAAAAAGGGGGCGCAGAGAUGUCUCCUUUGGGUCCCAGGAGUUUAGAGAAGCAGAGGUUAUUUUAAAGGAGGGAAUUAGGUAGUCUUCGGGGAAGAAGUGCCCUUUAUGGAGAUGGGCAUUGAGGUUUGGGAAGGCGGGGGAUUUGGCUCAGCAUAAGCCCUGGCUGAAGCACAGGUACUUAGGGCAAGUGAAGAAGGAGGAAGCUGUCCAUCCUGGCUGCAGCAAAGGCUGGAUGAAGGCAAGAGAGAAACGACCUAGAUUAUCAGAUGUCAGAUUGUCGGGGAGCCCUGUUUACCCUGAUUUUUUUUUUCCUCCUUCUUUGACCAUUCACGCUACAGUGCUGUGCUGGCAAACUAGUGUGCCACAAAAAAAAAAAAA